CUGCGUUGACUGCGCUACCAGUAAUAUACGCUUGUCUCAAAGGUUAAGCCAUGCAAAUGUCUAAGUACAAACAUAAAAUGAAACUGUGAACCGCAUAAGGCUCAGUAUAACAGCUAUAAUUCACAAGAUCAUCCUACACUAGUUACUGUUGGAUAACUGUGGAAAUCCAGAAGCUAACUACAUGCAAACAUGCCGGACUGUUGCCGCUAGCGGGUAGCUGAACUGGUGCCACUUAUUCAGUUAAACCAAUCGCCUCCGGGCGGCUUUGAGUUGAAGUCUGGAUAAGAGGACGCAGAUCUAUGGUCGCCUUGUCGACUGACGACAGAUCUUUUCAAAUGUCUGCCUGAUCACUAUUGAUGGUAGUGUAGAGGACUAGCCAUGGUUUGCGACGGGUAACGGGGAAUCAGGGUUCGAUUCCGGAGAGGAAGCCUGAGAAAUCGCUUACACAUCCAAGGAAGGCAAGCAAGGCGCGUAAAUUACCCAAUCCCAGUAACGGGGAGGUAGUGACGAGAAAUAACAAUAUGGACCUCUCUAACGAUGGGUCCAUAUUGGAAUGAGUUGAGUAUCAAAUCCUUCAACAGAUCAAUGGAGGUGCAAGGUCUGGUGCAGCAGACGCGCGGUAAAUUCCAGCUCCAACUAGCGUAUAUUAAAGUUUGUUGCGGUUAAAAACGUUCGAAGUUGAUGUGCCUCGUGCCAGACACGUGACCGCCAACGGGCGCCCGUUUUACACGCCGGGGCCGUUCGUGCGCGCGUUCUCACGGCUGCGACUCACAAUGCGUAGUGACUUGGGCGUUACUCUGUGAAGAGUAACCGGUGCUCCGUUAACUCCGGCACGGGCUCCUCAUGGUGCUCAAGAUACUCACAUUUCCUUGAACAAAUUAUGAGUGCUCAUAAGCAGGCUAGAGCACAAAGCAGUCCGGCCCCCCGGUGGGUUGGCGUUGCCGAGACUAAUCUUGCAUGGAAUAAUGGAAUCAUGACCUCGGUUUAUACGAUUUCGUUGGUUUGUCAGAAACCUAAGAGGUAAUGAUUAACAGAAGUAGUUUGGGGGCAUUGGUAUUACGCGUGCGCGAGAGGUGAAAAUUCGUAGACCGUGUAGGACCAACUGAAGCGAAAAGGGCCGUUCUGCCAUCGGAUGCCUUUCUUUAAUUCAAGAACGAAAGUUAGAGGAUCGAAGGCGAUUAAGAUACCGCCCUAGUUCUAACCGUAAACGAUGCCGUAAAUUACAAUUGAGGAGGACGCUCCCUAUUCGGUGCUCUCAGUCGCUUCCGGGAAACCAAAAUCGGGUUCCG
RNAcentral lists this ribosomal RNA (1289 nucleotides) under Anopheles funestus (African malaria mosquito). RNAcentral describes it as "eukaryotic small subunit ribosomal RNA". It matches the Rfam family "Eukaryotic small subunit ribosomal RNA", at positions 1 to 1116 of the family's 1831-position model. Lineage: Eukaryota; Metazoa; Arthropoda; Insecta; Diptera; Culicidae. The record is from RNAcentral.